Long non-coding RNA from Cyprinus carpio (common carp), 940 nucleotides. RefSeq lists it as uncharacterized. Lineage: Eukaryota; Metazoa; Chordata; Actinopteri; Cypriniformes; Cyprinidae. The transcript is spliced from 3 exons. The record is from RefSeq and is a predicted model, not a curated record.
UCAGCGUGCGUUUGGAGGCUUUCUAGCGCGCUCGCUGAGCUCCUGUUCCUCGCUGCUGUUCAGCUCCGGCUGCGGCAGUCAGAGGCGGCAGGGAAAAUCAGCACACACCGCUGAGAGGCCUGCUGUUACCGAGCACGACCGGAGGAGCACACAGAAAGAGUGUGUGUGCCUCGAUGCGAGCGAGCAGACCCCGGCAGAAUGAAAACCGCGAAGAAUUAAGCGAAUUUUAGGACAUGCUUCCUGUGCCGUAUGCUCCUGUGCAGAUCCCAGAGACAGGGUGACAGGGCAGAUUAAUGUCACGCAGGGGCUCAGUCCCCCCUCUCUCCCCCAUGAAGAGGGGUUUAAGGGGUGGGGGCUGGCGUUACUUCGGAAGAAGAAUAAGCUUGUCUGCGUAUGAAGAAAGAUGUGUCUGAGUCCCACCGGGCCACACUGGGACCAUUAUCCAACAGGAGUGAAACCUGUGGGGGUCCAUGGCAGGAGCAGUGGGAGGGAGGCAGUGAUGAGUUUGGGGGAGGCUCGGGACUGUAGUCCCUGUACCCAGCCCCGCUAAUCUCCCUCAAUGGCGGGGGAGGACACAUACUGUAAGGACGGAGAGGAGGUGGAGAGUGUAAGAUGGGGCCCCUCGAGCUGGCCGAAGAGCUCAAACACAACUGCACAGGAGGAAUUCAGAAUGGGAACACGGCCCUGAGCAACUCUGAAGCCUGAUAGACGAUAAAUAAUAAUAAAUUGUUUGAAAAUCAUUUACAGAUCAAAGAUAUAAAAAAGAUGUCUUCUCUUCUAAGCUUUGUGAUUUAAUAAAUCACAGUAUAUUUUAUAUCUAUAAUAUUAUUAUUUAUAAUUUUUACAAAAACUGAAACAAUAUGUAUAACACUUUUUAGUAACACUAAUAAAAAAUAAUUUGAAAAAAAAUUAUGAAUCAAAAAUGUGAUAAAGAUUUUUC